RNAcentral lists this ribosomal RNA (451 nucleotides) under Neoclarkinella sp. 4 SY-2020. RNAcentral's name for it is "partial large subunit ribosomal RNA". The record is from RNAcentral. Lineage: Eukaryota; Metazoa; Arthropoda; Insecta; Hymenoptera; Braconidae.
AAGAGUACGUGAAACCGUUCAGGGGUAAACCUGUGAAACCCAAAAGAUCGAAUGAGGAGAUUCAUCUUCAGCGUAUUCAGUAUUAAUGCAGGCUAUGAUGUGAUAAUAGAAUCCUCGGGGUCACUAGAUUAUACUUGCUUGUAUUAUUUCUGCUGGGUAUGUCGGCGUGCACUUCUCCUCUAGUAGAACGUCGCAACCCGUUGGAUGUUUAUCUAUGGCCUGAAUGGUAGCCUUUGUUAUUUUUAUUAUUGAAGACCUUUGGUGUCCUGAUAAACUGUCUGACGGUAUACAAAUGGUAUUGAGCCGCAAUUAUUUGCGUUAGACUUACCGCAAGUAAGACUUUAUUCUAGUAGUGCGGAUCUAAUGCCGUCGCUGGACAAAGUCUGCUGUUAGCUGUGUAAUGUCUUUAACUGGCUUAUUUACUGGUUAGCGAUGCUACUGCUUUGGGUAC